GGUCACAGCCGGCCUGGCGGAGGGACAGCCUGGAAGGAGGCCCUGGCUGUGGGCUGGGGACUAG
This 64-nucleotide microRNA precursor is filed under the name Ictidomys tridecemlineatus (thirteen-lined ground squirrel). RNAcentral describes it as "miRNA (ENSSTOG00000031136.1)". The record is from RNAcentral. Lineage: Eukaryota; Metazoa; Chordata; Mammalia; Rodentia; Sciuridae.